Molecule: small nuclear RNA, 122 nt
Filed under: Clytia hemisphaerica
Lineage: Eukaryota; Metazoa; Cnidaria; Hydrozoa; Leptothecata; Clytiidae
Description: U5 spliceosomal RNA
Rfam family: U5 spliceosomal RNA
About the family: U5 RNA is a component of both types of known spliceosome. The precise function of this molecule is unknown, though it is known that the 5' loop is required for splice site selection and p220 binding, and that both the 3' stem-loop and the Sm site are important for Sm protein binding and cap methylation.
Source: Rfam by way of RNAcentral
CAGCUCUGGGUUUUCUUCAGCUCACGCACAUAUCUUUCGCCUUUUACUAAAGAUAUCCGUGGAGAAGACCAUCUUGAUGAGUCUCAUCUAGAUUUUUUUGAUAGUCCCGCUUCGGUGGGCAC